CAAAAAAAUGAUUCGAGGCCUUCUUAGGUAUGACACAUUUAAAUUGUGUUCACUUUAUUUAAAUAUAACUAAUUGGGAAUAAUACAUGUAUAUAUUUAAUAAGUCUAACGUAAAAUGUAUAAAUAGUGUUAUCUAUGAGAUUUAUUUUAAUUUGCUUAACUCAAAUUAAUUUGGCUUCGGAGCGCGCCAUUUGCGCAUGUGCAAGACAAGCUCAGAGAAGAACAUGCACAGAGAGCGUGUGUGUCCGCCAUUUUCUCGUCUGCCGCCGAAAGGACUGCUAUGUCCUAUUCGUUAUUGGCCUGAUGAUCAACCUGACUGAAGAUACAGACUCUUUCUUCAAGGAGUAUGUGGCCACUGAGGAGAUUGUACAGAAGACAUCAGAGUUGUGAUUGAGGGCAUUAAGGUUUUGAGCAACCUAGACUGCGUGAUCCUGGCAUUCAUCAAUCAGUCUCAUUUAUGCUCUUGAUCUUAGUUCUCCUGAAAACCUAAAGUACACCUUCGAGUUUAUCCAGAAAACCUAAUGAACUUUGAUGGACUUGAAUGCAAAGAUCCUGCAACUCAAAGUCAAGCUGUUUGCAUGAGAUGUGCAAUAAUGUGAAUUAUUUGAAAAUACAUGCAGGUGAGCACACACACAGAAGUACAUUUCCUUUUUAUAAAUUCUUACAUGCUUUUUUUUUUUUACACACUUUUUGUGUAUUUCUUGUUAGUCAUUUAUGUCUUUUUAGGGAUAGUUCACCCAAAAAUGAAAAUUGUCAUCAUUUACAGAUCCUGGGGUUGUUCCAAACCUGUAUAAAUGUCUUUAUUCUGUU
Long non-coding RNA from Carassius gibelio (silver crucian carp), 809 nucleotides. RefSeq lists it as uncharacterized. The record is from RefSeq and is a predicted model, not a curated record. Lineage: Eukaryota; Metazoa; Chordata; Actinopteri; Cypriniformes; Cyprinidae. The transcript is spliced from 3 exons.